CCUACGGGUGGCAGCAGUGGGGAAUAUUGGACAAUGGGGGCAACCCUGAUCCAGCCAUGCCGCGUGUGUGAAGAAGGCCCUCGGGUUGUAAAGCACUUUCAGUGAGGAAGAACGCCUGGUGGUUAAUACCCAUCAGGAAAGACAUCACUCACAGAAGAAGCACCGGCUAACUCCGUGCCAGCAGCCGCGGUAAUACGGAGGGUGCGAGCGUUAAUCGGAAUUACUGGGCGUAAAGCGCGCGUAGGUGGCUUGAUAAGCCGGUUGUGAAAGCCCCGGGCUCAACCUGGGAACGGCAUCCGGAACUGUCAAGCUAGAGUGCAGGAGAGGAAGGUAGAAUUCCCGGUGUAGCGGUGAAAUGCGUAGAGAUCGGGAGGAAUACCAGUGGCGAAGGCGGCCUUCUGGACUGACACUGACACUGAGGUGCGAAAGCGUGGGUAGCAAACAGGAUAGAUACCCUUGUAGUC
RNAcentral lists this ribosomal RNA (464 nucleotides) under Vreelandella stevensii. RNAcentral's name for it is "partial 16S ribosomal RNA". It matches the Rfam family "Bacterial small subunit ribosomal RNA", at positions 338 to 795 of the family's 1533-position model. The record is from RNAcentral. Lineage: Bacteria; Pseudomonadati; Pseudomonadota; Gammaproteobacteria; Oceanospirillales; Halomonadaceae.